CCUGCAGGGUAAGUGCGCACGUUCUCAGUGAAGAGGUGUUUUGAAACUCCUUCCAGAGAAGUCUGGCGUUCACUCUAAAUUGACCUGGAGGCUGAGGAACCCUGGAAUGGCUCCAGCUGGUUCUUACUCUGCCAGAGAUCAGUGUCCGCCCAUGGCCUACCCCCUCUUGGGAAGGGACUCGGACAAAUUUGCCGCCAUGACGGUUGACACUUCCCAUCUAGGAUGGAGGAAUGGGGUUCCGAAAUUUGUUCCACCACUUUUGAAAGGACUGCAGCUGUGAGGGUGAGACGUCGUCCACUGUGCUGAUGAAGCCAGCCUCUCCCGGAUGGCAGGGAGAAUGUGCCUGUGUCCCUGACCCCCGGGAGCCAGCACGCAAGCCCUGGACUCUGUGACCCAGACUCUUCGAUGGGACAUUUCAUACUCAGGAAUUGGGGCUUCUGAGCUGGCUUCUGUUGAUGACAGCGUGUGGACAAGCAUCAGCUUUCUGCAACUGGUGUUCCUCUUUGAGCGACGAUGUGGUA
This is a non-coding RNA of Vicugna pacos (alpaca), 521 nucleotides long. The record is from RefSeq and is a predicted model, not a curated record. Lineage: Eukaryota; Metazoa; Chordata; Mammalia; Artiodactyla; Camelidae.